ACAAGCGGUGGAGUAUGUGGUUUAACUCGAUGCAACGCGAAGAACCUUACCUGGUCUUGACAUCCCGGAGACCCUUAGGAAACUAGGGGGUGGCUUCCAUCUGGAAGAAUCUGGAGACAGGUGCUGCAUGGCUGUCGUCAGCUCGUGUCGUGAGAUGUUGGGUUAAGUCCCGCAACGAGCGCAACCCUUGCCUUUAGUUGCCAACAGUUCGGCUGGGCACUCUAAAGGGACUGCCGGUGUUAAACCGGAGGAAGGUGGGGAUGACGUCAAGUCCUCAUGGCCUUUAUGACCAGGGCUACACACGUACUACAAUGGCCGAUACAAAGGGCAGCGACACUGCGAGGUGAAGCCAAUCCCGUAAAAUCGGUCUCAGUCCGGAUUGGAGUCUGCAACUCGACUCCAUGAAGUUGGAAUCGCUAGUAAUCGUGGAUCAGCAUGCCACGGUGAAUACGUUCCCGGGCCUU
RNAcentral lists this ribosomal RNA (464 nucleotides) under uncultured Desulfobulbus sp. Its description in RNAcentral is "bacterial SSU rRNA". It matches the Rfam family "Bacterial small subunit ribosomal RNA", at positions 925 to 1382 of the family's 1533-position model. Lineage: Bacteria; Pseudomonadati; Thermodesulfobacteriota; Desulfobulbia; Desulfobulbales; Desulfobulbaceae. The record is from RNAcentral.